RNAcentral lists this long non-coding RNA (309 nucleotides) under Setaria viridis. Its description in RNAcentral is "long non-coding RNA (SVIR_LNC007101)". Lineage: Eukaryota; Viridiplantae; Streptophyta; Magnoliopsida; Poales; Poaceae. The record is from RNAcentral.
CCAGCUGACUGUGGAAUUAAUCCACAUAGCUUUAUUGGCUAUAUAAAAAUCGCAUUGAACAAGAACUAGAAGUUGGGAAAUUGGGUUAACAUAUGAAGUACUCCCUCCGUUCCAAAUUAUUAGUCGUUUUGGCUUUUCUAGAUUUAUAGAAUCUAGAAAAGCCAAAACGACUAAUAAUUUGGGAUGGAGGGAGUAGUUGGCAUCAUCUGAUAAUGUAUAAAUUCAUUUGAUGAAAAUUUAAUGAUAAAUUGAUAAUAACCAACAGUAUUCAAACCACGCCAAAUAAAAAUUUGUCAACUAGUUAAACAU